UACGUAGGAUCCAAGCGUUGUUCGGAUUCACUGGGCGUAAAGGGUGCGUAGGCGGUCGGGUAAGUCUGAUGUGAAGUCUCACAGCUUAACUGUGAAACUGCAUUGGAUACUAUCCGGCUAGAGGAAUGGAGGGGAGACUGGAAUACUUGGUGUAGCAGUGAAAUGCGUAGAUAUCAAGUGGAACACCAGUGGCGAAGGCGAGUCUCUGGACAUUUCCUGACGCUGAGGCACGAAAACCAGGGGAGCAAACGGG
This 253-nucleotide ribosomal RNA is filed under the name uncultured bacterium. Its description in RNAcentral is "partial 16S ribosomal RNA". It matches the Rfam family "Bacterial small subunit ribosomal RNA", at positions 524 to 776 of the family's 1533-position model. The record is from RNAcentral.